GUAGGGAAUAUUGCGCAAUGGACGCAAGUCUGACGCAGCAACGCCGCGUGAGCGAUGAAGGUCUUCGGAUCGUAAAGCUCUGUCAGAGGGGACGAACCGUUCCGUGCUUAAUAAGCACGGGGCCUGACGGUACCCUCAGAGGAAGCACCGGCCAACCCCGUGCCAGCAGCCGCGGUAAUACGGGGGGUGCGAGCGUUGUUCGGAUUUACUGGGCGUAAAGGGCGUGCAGGCGGGUCGACAAGUCCUGUGUGUAAUCUCCCGGCUCAACCGGGAAACUGCAUGGGAAACUAUUGAUCUUGAGUGCGAGAGAGGAUGGCGGAAUUCCUGGUGUAGCGGUGAAAUGCGUAGAUAUCAGGAGGAACACCGGUGGCGAAGGCGGCCAUCUAGCUCGACACUGACGCUGAGACGCGAAGGCCGGGGGAGCAAACAGGAUUAGAUACCCCGGUAGUCC
RNAcentral lists this ribosomal RNA (451 nucleotides) under uncultured bacterium. Its description in RNAcentral is "bacterial SSU rRNA". It matches the Rfam family "Bacterial small subunit ribosomal RNA", at positions 354 to 796 of the family's 1533-position model. The record is from RNAcentral.